UCCGGCUUAACGCCGGCAGUCUCUUUAGAGUGCCUAACUAAAUAAUGGCAACUAAAGACAAGGGUUGCGCUCGUUGCGGGACUUAACCCAACAUCUCACGACACGAGCUGACGACAGCCAUGCAGCACCUAUGUAGCGACUCUUGCGAGCGACAAUAUCUCUACUGUCUUCCACUACACUUCGAACCCAGGUAAGGUUUUUCGCGUUGCAUCGAAUUGAACCACAUGCUCCACUGCUUGUGCGGGCCCCCGUCAAUUUCUUUGAGUUUUAAUCUUGCGACCGUACUCCCCAGGCGGGAUACUUACCGCGUUAGCUGCGACACUGAAGGGGUCAAAACCUCCAACAUCAAGUAUCCAUCGUUUACGGCGUGGACUAC
Molecule: unclassified non-coding RNA, 376 nt
Filed under: uncultured delta proteobacterium
Lineage: Bacteria; Deltaproteobacteria
Description: contains 16S-23S intergenic spacer region
Source: RNAcentral